Molecule: non-coding RNA, 92 nt
Filed under: Rhodococcus sp. (in: high G+C Gram-positive bacteria)
Lineage: Bacteria; Bacillati; Actinomycetota; Actinomycetes; Mycobacteriales; Nocardiaceae
Also listed under: 1 other name
Description: Rhodococcus sp. Glycine sequence
Rfam family: Glycine riboswitch aptamer
About the family: This family represents the bacterial glycine riboswitch. Glycine riboswitches usually consist of two metabolite-binding aptamers domains with similar structures in tandem. The aptamers cooperatively bind glycine to regulate the expression of downstream genes.
Source: RNAcentral
UGAUGCGCAGCGGGAGAACCUCCCACAAAGGAGGUGCCGUAGGAGCAACUUCCUCCCCGGGAAUCUCUCAGGCCCAGCACCGCAGCGAAGAG